GUGAGGAAUAUUGGUCAAUGGGCGCAAGCCUGAACCAGCCAUGUCGCGUGCAGGAAGACGGUCCUAUGGAUUGUAAACUGCUUUUAUUUGGGAAUAAACUCCGGUACGUGUACCGGCCUGAAGGUACCAAAUGAAUAAGCACCGGCUAACUCCGUGCCAGCAGCCGCGGUAAUACGGAGGGUGCAAGCGUAAUCCGGAAUCAUUGGGUUUAAAGGGUCCGCAGGCGGUCUUAUAAGUCAGUGGUGAAAGCCUACAGCUCAACUGUAGAACUGCCAUUGAUACUGUAGGACUUGAAUUCGAUCGAAGUGGGCGGAAUGUGACAUGUAGCGGUGAAAUGCUUAGAUAUGUCACAGAACACCGAUAGCGAAGGCAGCUCACUAGGUCUGGAUUGACGCUCAGGGACGAAAGCGUGGGGAGCAAACAGGAUUAGAAACCCGGGUAGUCC
Molecule: ribosomal RNA, 445 nt
Filed under: uncultured bacterium
Lineage: Bacteria
Description: partial 16S ribosomal RNA
Rfam family: Bacterial small subunit ribosomal RNA
Source: RNAcentral